GGUUAGGUCUGUAGGUGGACUUUUACCUCUUCAUAAUUAAAAAAAAAAAUCUUUACUUUCUUAGAGUCAAUUCUAAGACAAAAGAGCAGUAAGUGUUAGGUGAAUGGGUUUCAGUGAUUUACCCAGGGUCAUAUACCAGGAAGUGCCUAAGGCCAGAUUUGAACCUAAGUCCUCCCAACUCUAAACCUGAACAUCUGUCCAUUAUGCUGCCUAACUGCCUCUACUGUCUCUAAUUUCAAAACUAUUUCAUAUUGCAAGACAUACUGAAACUCUUCUAGAAAUUCAUUUAGGAAAAAAAGAAAAUGAGGAAGGAAAGAAGGAAGAAAAGAAAAGAAUAAAUGAGAAAGGGAAAGAAAGAAAGAAAGAAAGAAAGAAAGAAAGAAAGAAAGAAAGAAAGAAAGAAAGAAAGAAAGAAAGAAAGAAAGAAAGAAAGAAAGAAAGAAAGAAAGAAAGAAAGAAAGAAAGAAAGAAAGAAAGAAAGAAAGAAAGAAAGAAAGAAAGAAAGAAGGAAGGAAGGAAGGAAGGAAGGAAGGAAGGAAGGAAAGAAAGAAAGAAAGAAAGAAAGAAAGAAAGAAAGAAAGAAAGAAAGAAAGAAAGAAAGAAAGAUAGAAAGAAAGAAAGAAAGGGAGGAAGGGAGGAAGGGAGGAAGGGAGGAAGGGAGGAAGGGAGGAAGGGAGGAAGGGAGGAAAAGAAGGAAGAAAAGAAGAAAGAAGAAGAAAGAAGAAAGAAGAAGAAAGAAAGAAGAAGAAAGAAGAAGGAAGAAGAAGAAGAAGAAAGAAGAAGAAAGAAAGAAAGAAAGGGAAGGAGGGAGGGAGGGAGGGAGGAAGGAAGGAAGGAAGGAAGGAAGGAAGGAAGGAAGGAAGGAAGGAAGGAAGGAAGGAAGGAAGAUAAAGAAACUGAGGUAAGCAGGAUUAAGUGGCUUGCCCAGGGUUACACAGCUAAUAAGGAUCUGAGAUGAAAUUUAAACUCAAGACUUCUUGACUCCAGAACCAGCACUUAACUGCCCAGGUGAGCUAUAACACAACUUUAGUCCUGUCUACCCCUGAUAACAUUUUGCUUCUAUUAAUAAUUCUUAAGCUUCAUUUUGCUGCAGAGUAGACAGCCUUUUGAAGAAUCUCAUAUCAAAUUCGACAGUAUUUUUUUUUUGCAAAAUUAUAAGUGACUCAGACAAUGUUAAAUGGGAAAGAGCCCCUUGGUUGUUGAUAUAGAUGAGUGAUCAGAAGAAUUUGAGGUGGCUGUGUCAAUAGGCUAUCGGGUAUAAUUGAAAAAGACUUGCCCACAAGAAGUGAAAUUUAAAAAUUCAUUGAAUUCUUUGAAUUCAAAGAAUUCUGGUCACUCGUGUAUGACCAGGAAAGAUAGUGAGCCAGUUAUAUAGCAAGAAAAGGAGACAACAGAUGGCCAGUCUGAAUGCCACUCUGAAACAGUAAAGAACGAGAAAAAAAAAAGCUUCAAGGGUGUUGGGUCAGUUCUCUUGGAGGAUGUAUGGGGAAAUGUGAACAAGAAUAAAUGAAAAGCCACAGAGGUUAUGCUUUGCCUC
Molecule: long non-coding RNA, 1537 nt
Filed under: Monodelphis domestica (gray short-tailed opossum)
Lineage: Eukaryota; Metazoa; Chordata; Mammalia; Didelphimorphia; Didelphidae
Description: lncRNA (ENSMODG00000045181.1)
Source: RNAcentral